UUCUAGUCCACAAAAGGUGUUAGGAUGUUCUCUGCUAAUUUUCAUACUUCAGUGCAAGAACCGAGUUGCCCUGUGCUUCCUGGGUAUGUGGGAAGGAGCUGCCUCAAAACCCGAAGAUGCAACCCCAGGAACGGUGUGCCUUGGCUUGCAAUGCUCUUUCUAGCAGGCCCCGUGCUGCUACAUGAAUUGGAAAGUGAAAACUACAGAUUGAUUUUUUGGUCUCCAAAGCUGAAUGAAACUGAAAGAGUGAAAGAAACCACAGGCAACCCGACAGCUGUCAGUUGGGGCACUCUUGAGGAAACACACGGCCGCUUCUCCAGGGAGAAGAACGAUAGUUCAGCUCUUCUGAGACUCUGUGGUUCAAGGCCACGACAGCUUUCUGCCCUGUGAAUCCUUUCAGCUGCUUUUUCUACCUGCCUUAUUUCAAAUGCUAACCAUUUUAAAACUACUCAGCUGAAGGUCUAGCAAUGAAAAUGGAAAGAUCACUGCUAUUCCAAAGCCUGUGGUGUGGCUGAAACAAGACAAAGCAUCCUGCAUCGCUGCCAGCAUCACGGGGAAUUUUGGAGCAGUGCUCUCCAAACAGCAAGGUAUUGCUGACCACUGACAAUCAUUUCAACACCUCAUAGAUGCGAAAUAGGAC
Molecule: long non-coding RNA, 640 nt
Filed under: Apteryx owenii (little spotted kiwi)
Lineage: Eukaryota; Metazoa; Chordata; Aves; Apterygiformes; Apterygidae
Description: lncRNA (ENSAOWG00000003493.1)
Source: RNAcentral